GCUGCAAUCCCAGCCGCCACAGCUACAGCGGUGAGAGCAGGCCGGAUCCCAGAUCUGCAGGCGGGUGAGCAGGUGGAGCCCAGCGAAGAGAUGUUCCUGCUGCAGGCAAUUAUGCAAAGUGAGAAGUGAUUGCUUUCCUUUUCAAAGACAACCCCUUUGGAAAAAGCUUUUUCCUCCAGGACCCUAGGGAAAUGGGGGUUGAUGGGAACUUCA
This 213-nucleotide long non-coding RNA is filed under the name Pan troglodytes (chimpanzee). Its description in RNAcentral is "lincRNA". Lineage: Eukaryota; Metazoa; Chordata; Mammalia; Primates; Hominidae. The record is from RNAcentral.